RNAcentral lists this long non-coding RNA (959 nucleotides) under Helianthus annuus (common sunflower). RNAcentral describes it as "hypothetical non coding rna". Lineage: Eukaryota; Viridiplantae; Streptophyta; Magnoliopsida; Asterales; Asteraceae. The record is from RNAcentral.
AAAAAUUCUUUUCCUUCUAUCGACUAUCUCUUCUGUAUAUCUAUAUUCUUUUCAUCACCCCCACAAUAAUAAUAAUAAUAAUAAUAAUAAUAGUAAAGCCUUGCCCCAUUUUAAGUAUUAUAAUCCCGGGUCACUGAUGCCCUGUCCGACUGACGUAGGGCCCCGUAACGUAUGUCAAGGCUCUGCCUAAAUUCAUUGGGGUUCUGUCUGGUGACGUUGGGAUAAAGUAGAAUUGGGUUACUAUACUUAAUGUGAGUGCACUAUAUAUUUUAUUAAAUAAUCCAGGAGUUUUACCCAAAAUAUAACAACCCUCCCGAAUAUUUUUCUGACACCAUAAUAUAUUUUAAAAUAUCCCAAUAGGUCCCAAAAUACACCCCAUACGCGAAAACGGGCUCCGAAUACCCUAAAUAAAUUUAAUUAAAAAUAUGAAAUUUAAGUUGAGGCGGGCCGCGUAAGGUACCCCAUAACCCUUACGCGGGCCGCGAGAGGCUAAAAAGGUGGCGCAGCCCGGUGCGGCCACGUGGCCCAACACCCGGCGAGUCUAUAAGCUGAACCAGCCAAGCUACGCAUUGACCUGGGGUCAACGCGGGCCGCGUAGGCCCUGCUCUUGUGUUACGCGGGCCGCGACAAGGUCAAGAUCAGCACCUAUAUAUAGAAUGCAUCGGAUCUUCAGUUGAAUUCGUUCACAAAUAUGUUCUUUCUGUCAAUUCUAAAGUAUUAUAACCAGGGAAUCACAAAGGAAAGCCCUAUAAUAGCAAUGUAACUUAGUGUGAAACCAAUAAAAGCCGGCUGGAGAGCACUGAAGGCUUGGAAAAGUGGCAAUAAAGUUACCUCAAAUAAAAAUAGAUGCUUUUAUUAUAUAAAAUAGGAUUUCUUCCUAUGAAAAUGUGUGUACUGCAAACGUGGGUUUUUCCCAUGUAUUUGUAUUUAUAAAAUAUGGUGGUUUACUCUGAUAAAAU